UACAGAGGUGGCAAGCGUUGUUCGGAAUUACUGGGCGUAAAGGGCGCGUAGGCGGUCUUGCAAGUCCUGUGUGAAAUCCCUCGGCUCAACUGAGGAACUGCACAGGAAACUGCUUGGCUUGAGUUCGGGAGAGGGAAGCGGAAUUCCGGGUGUAGCGGUGAAAUGCGUAGAUAUCGGGAGGAACAUCAGUGGCGAAGGCGGCUACCUGGCCCAAUACUGACACUCAGGUGCGACAGCGUGGGGAGCAAACAGG
This 253-nucleotide ribosomal RNA is filed under the name uncultured bacterium. RNAcentral describes it as "partial 16S ribosomal RNA". It matches the Rfam family "Bacterial small subunit ribosomal RNA", at positions 524 to 776 of the family's 1533-position model. The record is from RNAcentral.